UCGUGUCGUGAGAUGUUCGGUUAAGUCCGGCAACGAGCGCAACCCUCGUCCUUAGUUGCCAGCAGUUCGGCUGGGCACUCUAAGGAAACUGCCCGUGAUAAGCGGGAGGAAGGUGAGGAUGACGUCAAGUCUUCAUGGCCCUUACGGGUUGGGCUACACACGUGCUACAAUGGCAACUACAGUGGGUUAAUCCCCAAAAGUUGUCUCAGUUCGGAUUGGGGUCUGCAACUCGACCCCAUGAAGUCGGAAUCGCUAGUAAUCGCGGAACAGCAUGCCGCGGUGAAUACGUUCCCGGGCCUU
This 300-nucleotide ribosomal RNA is filed under the name uncultured bacterium. RNAcentral describes it as "bacterial SSU rRNA". It matches the Rfam family "Bacterial small subunit ribosomal RNA", at positions 1060 to 1382 of the family's 1533-position model. The record is from RNAcentral.